Molecule: long non-coding RNA, 2783 nt
Organism: Drosophila simulans
Lineage: Eukaryota; Metazoa; Arthropoda; Insecta; Diptera; Drosophilidae
Exons: 2
Source: RefSeq, a predicted model, not a curated record
AUAUAUGCAUGCAUGUAUCUACACAUGCAUACUCUUACACACGACUAAGUAUGUCACAAUUAGUCUGACUGAUAAAUAUUCACGAGUUGCUCUUUGAUUGAAAUUUCAACUGAAACCAGAAAAGCUGCGAAUCGCAUUGGAAUUCGCGUUAAAUGCCCGACAUGACAGAUAAUUGAAAAUGCUGUCAUUCAAAUGCAAUGAAAGAUUAACAACCCUAAUUAACCGCCCUAAAAACCGAGUUCUUUGUGUUGCCAACUAAAAAUCGAUGUACAUACGUAUGUAUGUACAUAUGGAUAUGGGAAUAUUCCUACCAUACUAUUUCGCUCAGUAUUUUCGGGUUUUGCUUCUCAGUUUGCUCUUUAUUUGCCUUAGCGCUGCAUUGUUUGUUCUAAUUAAAUCUUAUCUAAACAAUUUUAAGCACAAAUUGUUUCAAUGGCAAUAAAAAGUAGAAAAAAUCACAAAAGCUCGGCGAGAGCACACGGCAAAGUCGAGGGCAAUGUUCUAAAGCAAAGGCUAUAUAAUAAGCGCACCUCGAUAGAUUUUCCCAUACACACUAUACAUACAUAUAUUGUACAUUUGGUUACAUAAAAAAAAAACAAACUGCAAGAUAAGGGAAGGGGAGAAUCCGAGGGGCACACAAAAAUGUGAGAAUCAAAAUCAAUAACUCAAUAGGCAUUCGAAAAGGAAAACAGAAAUAAGCGCAAAGCGAAACAGAUUCGUUCAAUAAAUAAUGCGUAUACGCUUCUAUAUAUGUAUGUUUGUACACAUGCAUAAUGUGAUAUACAUAUUUACAUAUACAUACAUACAUAUACAUACAUACAUUUACAGGGAAACAAACGGGUUGUGUUUAACCCACAGCCAAAAGGCAAUCGAAGGCUAUCCUGACUUCUGGCUUCUCAGUCUUGGCUUUUGCUUUUUCGAAUACUGACUAUGACAGUCAGCCGAUAAAGAUGAUCGGCCUAAGAGUCGGUCAAAUAAUGUCGGUUGGAAGGGGUGUACCCCGAGUCGAGUUGAGUCACCAGCCACUACAUGCCCCAUGCUCCAAACAUGCGCUCAUCCCCAGAAUCGUAAUUUGUGCCUCAUUUAUACACACAAUUUCAAUGACAAAUCGAUUGAGGUGCUCAGUUUGCCGAUUUCUGGUUUAUAUUUAUAAAACCGAUUGGUAAUCUACGCGGAAUGGCAAGUACAUACAUAUAUACAUACGUUUAGAAGGAAACACAAAAUCGCAAAUAGCGCUAAUCAAGUUGGAAUUGCAACAAACCCCAUAAUUGAAUAAGAUUUGUACAUACAUAUAUUUUACAAACUUAUAUUUAUGUUUUUCUAAGCCUUUUUGGUAGUACCUUGCUACCUUGCUCGAAAUACAUAUAUGGGGAAUGUGGCUCCGAGAAUACACAAUCUCUGGUGUAUUCCCCACUUUUUCAGCUGCUUCCUCUGCAUUCGUUAUCUUUCUCUUUGUGUACAUAAUAUACUUGCUUUCACAUACAUAUGUAUGUACAUACAUACAUGUUUGUAUAUGUACGUAACACAUUUUCCCGUUGAUAAGAAUAAUGAAGUUAACUCAGAGUCAUUCCGUUUCCGAUUCAAUCCGCAGUUCGAUUCUUCGCUUUUUCAUCACUUAAUUCGCGCUUUUUUAUGAAAUUCAAUUUUUAUCAAUUUGUACAAAUAAAUGUCCUAUGUCCUGAAUGCCUAGCUUAAGCGAUGAUUUUAUAAUGUUUUUCAAGAGCGAUGAAUUAUGAAACUGCAGGGAUAGUAUAGGAUGUAUGUAUGUAUGUACCUAUGAAUGUAUUAUGCCCCAUCUUUUCGAUACUCAUUUAUUUUGAUCUCGCUCUUUUCUCUGCCCUCUUGAAUACCUCUAAAAAUAAACUAAUUUCCCCUGCAGUUUCGUUUUAAUUUUAUUUUUUUAGUCCUAAACAAUUCCAUUCUGUUGAUAAUUGAAAUUUUUGUCAAGAUUUCUCACCUAUGAAUGUACACAUCAUGGGUUUUGGAUGUAUUCAUGAAUGCUAGAAAAAAAACAAAACGGGGAAUAUUAUUCAUUCCUACAGAUGCGGUAAUGUUUCUGUUCUUGCUCCCUUGCCUUUUUUUAUAAUUUUUUUUGUUGGCAAUUUUCAGUUUGUUUUGCUUUGCCGGGUAUAUUUAUACAUUUGUGAUAAACAAAAUAUGUAUAUUUCACGUCGACAAUGUCGGUUACCUCAUAUUUGACUCGGCCAGCAAAUAAGAAGCGCAUUUAACAAUAUGCCACGCCCCUCGCCCGUCGUCUGGCCCAAACGCCCAAUCCCAAUAAUAUCGGUAACUUAUGUUUAACUUUGGAACAACACAAGUCAAUUUAGAAUUAAUUUUCGACAUUUAUUUAUUGAACUUUGACAUUGUAAAGUUUUCACUGAGGAUUUGAUAGGGUAUUCAACUUUUGGUCUUUUGCUUUCCGUCCGUCAUUCGUGAGUUUUUAUUUUGUGCGAAUUUUCUGUUCUGUCGUCUUUUAUUAUUAUUACUACAGUUUUAUAUAUUUUUUUGUGUGAACCGUACUCUGCCGACGUCGCUGCCACUGCCAGCGCUGUCGCUUUGACGAUUUGCGCUUUGCGUUGCGCUUACUCACAAUCAAAUCUCACGCCGCAUUUUUAGUCUCAAUAAUAACUGAAACGAAAAACACGCGCAGCCGAAACGAAGCGCAAACCAAAGAGUAGAGCGAAAGAAGCAAGGAAGGCAAACGGCGAACAAAAACGCAAAACGAAAACGACGACACGUCGUCAAACAUAUACCCCGAAUAAAAUGCUGUGGAUAAGGGGAUU